This 121-nucleotide small nucleolar RNA is filed under the name Echinops telfairi (small Madagascar hedgehog). Its description in RNAcentral is "Small nucleolar RNA SNORA61 (ENSETEG00000024754.1)". Lineage: Eukaryota; Metazoa; Chordata; Mammalia; Afrosoricida; Tenrecidae. The record is from RNAcentral.
GACCUGCAGAUUCCUUACCCAUCAGACUUAAAUGCUUCCCUGAGUGGUUAUAAAAGGAGGGAAAGUAAAAUUGAAACUGACUUAAAUUCUUUUGUGGCACACAAGCCAGUUUCUAACAGCA